Molecule: non-coding RNA, 135 nt
Organism: Triticum aestivum (bread wheat)
Lineage: Eukaryota; Viridiplantae; Streptophyta; Magnoliopsida; Poales; Poaceae
Source: Rfam
UGAGUACUCCCUCCGUCCGAAAAUACUUGUCAUCAAAAUGGAUAAAAAGAGAUGUAUCUAGAACUAAAAUAAGUCAAGAUACAUCCACUUUUAUCCAUUUUGAUGACAAGUAUUUCCGGACGGAGGGAGUACCAU